CUCGCGUGAUGUCAGCAAUACCUAGGUAACCCUUGAAUAAACUACCCUUGUUGCUUUGGCGGGUCGCCUUUUAGGCCAGCGGCUUCGGCUGCUGCGUGCCCGCCAGAGGACCACAACUCUUGUUUUUAGUGAUGUCUGAGUACUAUAUAAUAGUUAAAACUUUCAACAACGGAUCUCUUGGUUCUGGCAUCGAUGAAGAACGCAGCGAAAUGCGAUAAGUAAUGUGAAUUGCAGAAUUCAGUGAAUCAUCGAAUCUUUGAACGCACAUUGCGCCCUUUGGUAUUCCGAAGGGCAUGCCUGUUCGAGCGUCAUUAUAACCACUCAAGCCUUCGCUUGGUAUUGGGGUUCGCGGUUCCGCGGCCUCUAAAAUCAGUGGCGGUGCCUGUCGGCUCUACGCGUAGUAAUACUCCUCGCGUCUGGGUCCGGUAGGUUGCUUGCCAACAACCCCCAAUUUU
This 455-nucleotide ribosomal RNA is filed under the name Cadophora malorum. Its description in RNAcentral is "eukaryotic LSU rRNA". The stretch from base 158 to 311 matches the Rfam family "5.8S ribosomal RNA". The record is from RNAcentral. Lineage: Eukaryota; Fungi; Ascomycota; Leotiomycetes; Helotiales; Ploettnerulaceae.